This 1004-nucleotide long non-coding RNA is filed under the name Brassica napus (rape). Its description in RNAcentral is "long non-coding RNA (BNAP_LNC018736)". Lineage: Eukaryota; Viridiplantae; Streptophyta; Magnoliopsida; Brassicales; Brassicaceae. The record is from RNAcentral.
ACAUAAAAAAAAUUUUGUUUUAAUUUUUUUCUGAAUUAUACUAUUUCGAAAUUUAUACCCUAAACCCUAAAACUCAACUCUAAACCCUAAACCAUCAAUCCUAAACCCUAUUUUUUUUGAACUAAAUCCUAAACCCUGAAACAUCAACUCUAAACCCUAAACCCUGAAACAUGAACUCUAAACCCUAAACCCUAAAACUUCAACUCUAAACCCUAAAACAUCAAUUCUAAACCCUAAACCCUAAACUUCAUAUCUAAACCCUAAACCAUCAACACUAAACCCUAAACUAUCAACACUAAACCUUAAAAAGUAAACUCUAAACCCUAAACCCUAAAAAAUUAACCCUAAACCCUAAAACAUCAACUCUAAACCCUAAACCAUAAACUUUCAACUCUAAACCUUAAACCCUAAAUCCUAAAUCCUAAACCCUAAACCCUAAACCCUAAAACCCUCGAGUUGUUGUUUUAGAGUUUAGAUUUGAAGAUUUAGGGUUUAGGGUUUACGUUUAGGGUUUAGAUUUGAUGUUUUAGGGUUUAGAUUUGAAGGUUUAGAGUUUAGGGUUUAGGGUUCGAAUUUCAGAAAAAUAUAAGGUUUAGGGUUUGGUGUUUACGUUUAGGGUUUAGAGUUGAUGUUUUAGAUUUUUGAUUUGAAGGUUUAGGGUUUAGGGUUUAGAGUUGAUGUUUCGGAGUUUAGGGUUUAGAGUUGAUGUUUCAUGGUUUAGAGUUUAGAGUUGAUGAUUUAGUGUUUAAAGUUGAUAUUUUUAGUUUAAAUUUAGGGUUUAGGGUUUAGGGUUUACGUUUAGCAUUUAGAGUUGAUGUUUUCGGGUUUAGAUUGGAAGUUUUAGGGUUUAGAGUUGAUGUUUCCGGGUUUAGGGUUUAGAGUUAAUGAUUUAGGGUUUAGAGUUGAUGUUUUAAGUUUAGAUUAGUUAACCGUAUGUUUUUUUUUGUCAAAGGUAAUCAAAAAGUUAUAAAUGUCUUUUACCCUUUAUUAAAGAUGAGGGUAAA